Molecule: ribosomal RNA, 1520 nt
Filed under: Klebsiella pneumoniae
Lineage: Bacteria; Pseudomonadati; Pseudomonadota; Gammaproteobacteria; Enterobacterales; Enterobacteriaceae
Also listed under: 3 other names
Description: bacterial SSU rRNA
Rfam family: Bacterial small subunit ribosomal RNA
Source: RNAcentral
AGAGUUUGAUCAUGGCUCAGAUUGAACGCUGGCGGCAGGCCUAACACAUGCAAGUCGAGCGGUAGCACAGAGAGCUUGCUCUCGGGUGACGAGCGGCGGACGGGUGAGUAAUGUCUGGGAAACUGCCUGAUGGAGGGGGAUAACUACUGGAAACGGUAGCUAAUACCGCAUAACGUCGCAAGACCAAAGUGGGGGACCUUCGGGCCUCAUGCCAUCAGAUGUGCCCAGAUGGGAUUAGCUAGUAGGUGGGGUAACGGCUCACCUAGGCGACGAUCCCUAGCUGGUCUGAGAGGAUGACCAGCCACACUGGAACUGAGACACGGUCCAGACUCCUACGGGAGGCAGCAGUGGGGAAUAUUGCACAAUGGGCGCAAGCCUGAUGCAGCCAUGCCGCGUGUGUGAAGAAGGCCUUCGGGUUGUAAAGCACUUUCAGCGGGGAGGAAGGCGGUGAGGUUAAUAACCUCACCGAUUGACGUUACCCGCAGAAGAAGCACCGGCUAACUCCGUGCCAGCAGCCGCGGUAAUACGGAGGGUGCAAGCGUUAAUCGGAAUUACUGGGCGUAAAGCGCACGCAGGCGGUCUGUCAAGUCGGAUGUGAAAUCCCCGGGCUCAACCUGGGAACUGCAUUCGAAACUGGCAGGCUAGAGUCUUGUAGAGGGGGGUAGAAUUCCAGGUGUAGCGGUGAAAUGCGUAGAGAUCUGGAGGAAUACCGGUGGCGAAGGCGGCCCCCUGGACAAAGACUGACGCUCAGGUGCGAAAGCGUGGGGAGCAAACAGGAUUAGAUACCCUGGUAGUCCACGCUGUAAACGAUGUCGAUUUGGAGGUUGUGCCCUUGAGGCGUGGCUUCCGGAGCUAACGCGUUAAAUCGACCGCCUGGGGAGUACGGCCGCAAGGUUAAAACUCAAAUGAAUUGACGGGGGCCCGCACAAGCGGUGGAGCAUGUGGUUUAAUUCGAUGCAACGCGAAGAACCUUACCUGGUCUUGACAUCCACAGAACUUUCCAGAGAUGGAUUGGUGCCUUCGGGAACUGUGAGACAGGUGCUGCAUGGCUGUCGUCAGCUCGUGUUGUGAAAUGUUGGGUUAAGUCCCGCAACGAGCGCAACCCUUAUCCUUUGUUGCCAGCGGUUAGGCCGGGAACUCAAAGGAGACUGCCAGUGAUAAACUGGAGGAAGGUGGGGAUGACGUCAAGUCAUCAUGGCCCUUACGACCAGGGCUACACACGUGCUACAAUGGCAUAUACAAAGAGAAGCGACCUCGCGAGAGCAAGCGGACCUCAUAAAGUAUGUCGUAGUCCGGAUUGGAGUCUGCAACUCGACUCCAUGAAGUCGGAAUCGCUAGUAAUCGUAGAUCAGAAUGCUACGGUGAAUACGUUCCCGGGCCUUGUACACACCGCCCGUCACACCAUGGGAGUGGGUUGCAAAAGAAGUAGGUAGCUUAACCUUCGGGAGGGCGCUUACCACUUUGUGAUUCAUGACUGGGGUGAAGUCGUAACAAGGUAACCGUAGGGGAACCUGCGGUUG